Molecule: ribosomal RNA, 252 nt
Filed under: uncultured bacterium
Lineage: Bacteria
Description: partial 16S ribosomal RNA
Rfam family: Bacterial small subunit ribosomal RNA
Source: RNAcentral
ACGAAGGGUGCGAGCGUUGUUCGGAAUUACUGGGCGUAAAGGGAGUGUAGGCGGAUGUGUAAGAUAGCGGUGAAAUACCGGGGCUCAACCUCGGAAUUGCCAUUAUGACUAUGCAUCUAGAGUAAUGUAGAGGAUAGCGGAAUACCCAGUGUAGAGGUGAAAUUCGUAGAUAUUGGGUAGAACACCGGUGGCGAAGGCGGCUAUCUGGGCAUUUACUGACGCUGAGGCUCGAAAGCAUGGGGAUCAAACAGG